UUCCUUUAAUGUUUCUUGUCAUCGCUUCUUCUGUUCUUCUUUCUUCCUUUGAAAAGAGUAAAUCAUAGUACAUUGGUCAUCUUCUCUGCAUCCCGACUACGUACUCUUAUGUGCUUAUAAGAGUGACUCAUUAACCUGAAAGUCACAUGAUUGAGCUAAAAUUUCAAUAUCUUUUGCAUCUUACUCCCUUUGCCUUAGUUGUCACUGUUCUUCUUGACUUCAGUGGUCUCCCAUUGACCACUCUUCUUGUCUUUCAGGUCCCCUCUAAGGUGAAUUCUUACAGCUUCAGUUACUUGCUGUGCCCAACAUGAUGUUGGCACAUCAACUGUGAUGGAAAUUUACCAAUCCUUCCUCCUCUUGGCCUUCCUUUCUCUUGGCCACUUAAACCUAAUGCAUGUGCACUGAUAAAGCGAUUUCCUUCCCUGUUUUAUCCUUUUCUGCUGCUGUCUUCUGUAUAAUUACAUCAAGCACAAAUAUUCUCUGUUUCCUUUCCAGGUUUCUAUCUGUUCAUUCAUUUUAAUGACUUGUUGAUUUGCAUCCUCUCUAUGCCAGGAAUUCUAGCCUCAUUUGCCUGGAUAUCCAGUUUCCCACUGAGUAAACACAUGCUUUCUUCAUUGCGGAUGGAAGACCCUUUGGAUACUAGUCUUUAAAAUCUGUAUCUGAUCAUUUUGCUAGGCAUUUUUACUGUGCUGCCUACACAACAGUGCCAGUAAGCAUGAUUAUGCAGGCAUCCAAAGAAAUAAAAAGGCCUAUUCUGUGUAUUUUUUUGCCCACACAUUUACAUGUAUGUGACUGAACUAUUCAUAGAUUUGCUUCUAUGUGUGUGAUUUGCCUAAACAGGAUCAAAGUAAUUGAGGAGACACUGUGAGUAAGUAUAUAAAUAGCUGGUCUGUGACUUAAGUUUUGAUGGCACAGCUUUGGCAUGCUUUGAAAAGUCACCUGCUUGUGUCUCUGUUUCCUUAUCUUUGAAAUGGGAAUGAUUUUGCUUACCCAGUUUACCAAGUAAUUUGAGACCAAGUCAUAAAAUGUGCUAUGUAAUAACCAUACAGUGUUGUUUUUCCUGUCCCAUUCUUCCUCAUUAUGUGUCACACCAACUGGUUUCAUCUGCUGGUACAUUAGACCAUGGACGUCU
Molecule: long non-coding RNA, 1132 nt
Filed under: Strigops habroptila (Kakapo)
Lineage: Eukaryota; Metazoa; Chordata; Aves; Psittaciformes; Psittacidae
Description: lncRNA (ENSSHBG00005011940.1)
Source: RNAcentral